GUAGCUGGCCUUCCGAGGCAUGUGCACGCCCUGCUCAUCCACUCUACACCUGUGCACUUACUGUGGGUUUACGGGUCGUGAAACGGGCUCGUUUAUUCGGGCUUGUUGAGCGCACUUGUUUCCUGCGUUUAUCACAAACUCUAUGAAGUAUCAGAAUGUGUAUUGCGAUGUAACGCAUCUAUAUACAACUUUCAGCAACGGAUCUCUUGGCUCUCGCAUCGAUGAAGAACGCAGCGAAAUGCGAUAAGUAAUGUGAAUUGCAGAAUUCAGUGAAUCAUCGAAUCUUUGAACGCACCUUGCGCUCCUUGGUAUUCCGAGGAGCAUGCCUGUUUGAGUGUCAUGAAAUCUUCAAUCUACAAACUUCUUAUGGGGUUUGUAGGCUUGGACUUGGAGGCUUGUCGGUCCCUUUACAGGUCGGCUCCUCUUAAAUGCAUUAGCUUGGUUCCUUGCGGAUCGGCUUGUCGGUGUGAUAAUGUCUACGCCGCGACCGUGAAGCGUGUUUGGGCGAGCUUCUAACCGUCUCGUUACAGAGACAACUUUUAUGACCUCUGACCUCAAAUCAGGUAGGACUACCCGCUGAACUUAAGCAUAUCAAUAAGCGGAGGAA
This 607-nucleotide ribosomal RNA is filed under the name Ganoderma gibbosum. RNAcentral's name for it is "eukaryotic LSU rRNA". The stretch from base 187 to 340 matches the Rfam family "5.8S ribosomal RNA". The record is from RNAcentral. Lineage: Eukaryota; Fungi; Basidiomycota; Agaricomycetes; Polyporales; Polyporaceae.